This 476-nucleotide ribosomal RNA is filed under the name uncultured bacterium. RNAcentral's name for it is "bacterial SSU rRNA". It matches the Rfam family "Bacterial small subunit ribosomal RNA", at positions 28 to 526 of the family's 1533-position model. The record is from RNAcentral.
GACGAACGCUGGCGGCGUGCUUAACACAUGCAAGUCGAGCGGAAAGGCCCUUCGGGGUACUCGAGCGGCGAACGGGUGAGUAACACGUGAGUAACCUGCCCUCAACUUCGGGAUAAGCCUGGGAAACCGGGUCUAAUACCGGGUAGGACCGGCCUUGGCAUCGGGGCUGGUGGAAAGUUUUUCGGUUGGGGAUGGACUCGCGGCCUAUCAGCUUGUUGGUGGGGUAGUGGCCUACCAAGGCGACGACGGGUAGCCGGCCUGAGAGGGCGACCGGCCACACUGGGACUGAGACACGGCCCAGACUCCUACGGGAGGCAGCAGUGGGGAAUAUUGCGCAAUGGGCGAAAGCCUGACGCAGCGACGCCGCGUGGGGGAUGACGGCCUUCGGGUUGUAAACCUCUUUCAGCAGGGACGAAGUUGACGUGUACCUGUAGAAGAAGCGCCGGCUAACUACGUGCCAGCAGCCGCCGUAAUAC